UAUUAAAAAUUUCAUCAAUUUCUACGGUUAAAAACUAGUGUAGCUAACAAAAUAACCAAACAAUUACAUGUGGUGUGCCACAUGUACCUCAUGCAGACAUACAAGGACCAACUUUUAAUAGUAGAAAUGGAUGGAAUUUCUUAACA
Molecule: non-coding RNA, 146 nt
Organism: Gossypium hirsutum (cotton)
Lineage: Eukaryota; Viridiplantae; Streptophyta; Magnoliopsida; Malvales; Malvaceae
Source: Rfam